Molecule: long non-coding RNA, 935 nt
Filed under: Gossypium raimondii (Peruvian cotton)
Lineage: Eukaryota; Viridiplantae; Streptophyta; Magnoliopsida; Malvales; Malvaceae
Description: long non-coding RNA (GRAI_LNC009075)
Source: RNAcentral
AGGUGUGUGACACGAAUGUGUUGCCCAACACGGGCCUAAACACGACAGUGUCACCCCUUUUAAAGCAAACCCAAACUUUUUUUUAAGUUUGUCUUAUUCCUUCCCUUUUCGACCCUUGCCACGACUCUCCAAACACCAAAACCCUAGCCCAUUGCUCACCAUACCGACCGUCAUUCUCUUCCACCCCAUUUUCACCUUCGUCGCCAACACCUCCCCUCUCUAUCGUCGAGCCUUUGCCACGAACCCCCAUGCCCUAACUCCCCUUUUUUCCUUUCUUUUCCAAGCCUCCACCCUCAUCGACCACCACCCACCUCACCUCUCCCUCACCAAAGCCACCCGUCCCACACUCUCAUGCCGACCACACCCCUCCCUUGGCCUUCUUCUUGCCACGACCACACCGCCAUCCCCUCAACUCCCCCUCUCCUCUCAUUUUCUUCUCUUUUCUCUCCCUUUCUCCCCACCCCAACGGUCACCCCCAACCAAACCUCCUCCUUUUGCCCUAUAAUCCCUCACGACUCCCCCGCCCUUCCCUCUCCUCUUCCUUGACCUCCUUCCCUCGAUUGUCCUCUCCUCGCACCACCACCCCCUACUCCAUCGGCCUUCAACCAUCACCGCCGCUCUCACCAACUGCCGUGCAUACCAUCACCAUCACAGUCGGUUUCCCCUUUGUCCCAAUUUUCUUUGUUUUUAUUUUAUUUAUUUAUUUUUUAAUUUAGUUACUUCUUUUCUUGGUGUUCACUUUGCCUAUUAUUUUGUUUUAGAUUCUUUUAUUUUAGUAUUUUUAUUAUUUUUCUUGUUCUUAUUUUUUUCAUUUUCCUACUUCUGAUUUUGUUUUAUUCUAUUAGUUUAGUAUUAUUCUUCUUAUUAGUUUUCUUUCUAUUUGUCUUCUUAUUAGUAGUAGCUUUAAUUGUCCCUUUUAUUUUUCAUUUUUCUUA